UUGGCUGCUAUGGUGAUGCAUGCACUAGUGAAGCACGCACACAUGCAAGGCUGGCCCCAUGUCUUCCUUGGCUGCGAACAUCAUCUACAUGUACAACAUUGUCCCACAUCUCUGUGCUAUUUUGCCCGUUCUUCUCCUUGCAUCCGAGAAAAUUGGCGCUUAAUCUGCUAUUGAUUAUAGUCUUUGUUCGUUAAUACCAAGUACUCAGGCUAGCAGUAUGACCAGAUGCGAGGACCUGCUCACUGACCAGGACAAUCUAUGAGCUCCCAGCGCCUCUGAUACAAGGUGCGUUAGGGCCAACCUCUUCCGAAAGAAGGCCACACUCGUAGCCCCUCUGGAUCAAAAUUGGUAUCCCUUCCUUCCUCUCCUUUUGGAUUCACAUGAUUUUGCCUCAUGGAUUGAUGGAUGUGUCUGUAAUUUUAAAGUCUGGUCCUCGUUUACUUUCUAUAAUUUAUUGCAUGCUUGAUGAGGCUAUGUCAAGUGUCUAAAAUUUUGAAUGCAUGCGCUAAGGCAAUUUUGAGCACUUCGCAUUGAUUCGGCGUUUUUAGCUCCUAUAAUGGUCUUGAAGUUCAUGGUUAUAUACUUCUUGUUGUAGGAUGGCAAGUUGUCGCAGCUGGAGCAAGUCUCGCAAGAGAGAGCAAUGAAGUCCAUUGUACUCUCCUGUUAUAUACUUCUUGUUGUAGGAUGGCAAGUUGUAGGAUGUACGUGUAAACCUGAUUGUACUCUCCUGUCUAAACUACAUGCCAUAAUUGUCUUAUUGCAUAUUCCCUCUGUUCCUUCUAUAUUUCUGUAUAAGGAAAUGUAUUCCUGAGAUGAUUUGUUAUGUAAACCUGAUGUGAUGCGAUGGAUGAUUUGAAUUUCAUAUGAAGUUUUCUUGAUUUGAAUAUGAAAUAAUGUUG
RNAcentral lists this long non-coding RNA (899 nucleotides) under Triticum aestivum (bread wheat). Its description in RNAcentral is "long non-coding RNA (TAES_LNC003820)". Lineage: Eukaryota; Viridiplantae; Streptophyta; Magnoliopsida; Poales; Poaceae. The record is from RNAcentral.